CCCGCCGCUCCGCUCCGCGCCCGGCCCCGGCCCCGGCCCGCCCGACCCCUGCCCGCAGCGGGGCCGCGGUGCCAAGUCCAUGUGUCCCACUUGUCUGGAAGAACGUUUGGAGUCUGGCAGUCUGGUUGUUUUCGUAGCUCCAGAGGAUUUUUAGGAGCAUGGGGAGCAUGGGAUGCAUCGACCUGUGGACCACAAAACCCUCUGGAGAAUGUUGGCUGUGGAUAAAAGCAUUUGGAAGUUUCUACCAUCUUUUUACCCUGGUUUUUCCUGGGUCACCCUGUGUCAUUUGUGGCCCUGUCCUGAGGAUUAUGGCAAACAGUCACUUACUGGAAUACCUCCCCAUGCAUCUUGAAAUGAAGCCACUGCUUUACCCAGCUGGAAGAUAUUUUCUCUUCUCCCAGAGCUCUUCCAGUGCAGCAGCAGCACUCCUGUCCAGCAGGAUGAUUGGUGUGCCCUGUCCUUGUUGUGAACUGCUUUGCCAGGAAGAUUAAUGGCAGAGGAGAAAAUGUGAGGUAAGGACAGGUCUUGAUUGACUGCAGAAAGGAGAAGGGAGGAGUGUGUCAAAGGAAGGUCAGAUCCUGGCAGGGUUUCCUGGGAAAUGAGACCCAUGCAGUAUGGAAUAUUUUUGCCCAAGGACCAGAUGGCUUGAAAUCCAUCAUUCAACCAGGUAAUUUUAGCAUUUACAAGAAGGCCAAAUGAAUUAAUCUGAGGAGGAUGAGAGGAUUGGAUGGACAAGAUGGGUCCACUAGAGCAAGUGAAGGAAUUAAAGAAGAGCAAAUAAGUCUGUGGCAAGGGAGGGCUUUCCAGCUCUUUGAGAGAAUGCAUUCAGGGACUACAUCCUGGGAUAUGCCUUUGAGGCUUAGAGGAACCCAGCAGAUGUGAAGAUCCUGGAACCAAGAAGCACAAAGAGAACCUGCAAGCAUAAUUAUGAUAAGCAUCAAUGGGUGGUUUCAGAGUGUCAGAACUGGGUGCUUCAUUCCUUUGGCUCAAGUGCUUGUAGUCAGGAAAGUUUUGUGUGUCUUUCGUAGAGCCACAGACCGGCCCAGACUGGAAACGAUCAUCUGGUUCAGUCUUUUGUGGGAAAGGGAGCCAAGGUGAUUGUAGCAACCUUGUCCAGUUGUACCUUGAAGAUCUCCAGUGAUGGAGACUCUGCUGUCUCCCUGGGCAGGUUAUUUCAGUGUAUCCACUGUUUGGAUGAUGAAACUCGAUGAGCUGCAAUUUGGCUUGGAUUACAGUAUUUCAGAAGACUUUCUGAACUUGCCAGGCAACCCUUCCCCUAGACUUUGGGGACAGAGGAGCCUAAAUUUUCAUUUCCAGUGUCACACAAGGAGAUAGAAUGCUUUACACAAGUAAUGAAAAUCAAUGCUGUGUUGCUUUUGGAAGGAGUACUCCAAAGAAGAAAAGCCUUGCCUAUACAUCUUGGUUUAGAGACAGAUUUUACCUAGGAGGAAUGUGGAUACUAGAAGAAGGAGAAGAGGUGAUGCUACAAGCCAGCUUCCUGACCCUCCAGAGUGGGACUGAAGCUUUUUAACAAGGACCCACCAGCGGAGCAGCACGCUUUUCCGAGCCAAGCUAAAUACAAGAGCGGCUAAUAAAAGGCAUCCGCAUUUCCAGUUGGUUGCUGCUGAGCAGACACGUGUCCUUGCAGCUCUUGUGAUCAGUCAGCUGCCUAAAUACAGCUCCUGCACUUGGGUUAAGGACGAGGUGUUGCUACUCAGGCUUUCCGGGGCGUUCCCCUGCUGACCUUUCAAGAAAGUGAAGCAGCACGGUCUCUCCCUCUCUCUGACGUGUGCUGAGUCAAGGCUGCUGCUUUCUAAGAGAGAUUUAUCUGGAAAGUAUGACUGACAGGAGCAGCUUACUCACCAUUAGAUAAGUAUUGCAGAUGACUCAUGCUGGAGUAUUGAUAGCUGCUGCUGAGAUGGAUGUCCUGUUUUAUAACAGCUGUAGUGUGAUGCCACGAGGCAGGAACCUUAAUUUCACUAUCCAUGCUUUUCCAUGAGUGUGCUUUGGGUCUCUGGCACCUUUUCUCCUUGGUUUGUCCAUCUAAAGGGUUCACAGGGAGGGGAGGUUUUGCUUCCCUCAGUGGGGUACAGGGUAUGGGGCAGCUCAUGCCACCUUGAAAUGAAAGCUAGUGUUGAAAGGCUGCAGCUUUUAUAGCUGUUCUUCAGGACUUGCAAUGUUUGUCUUUUUAAUAGAUGCCAUUAGUGACUUUCCUCGAUUCUUUGGUUUUUUUUGUUUUGUUUGUGUUUUUUCAGAGCCAUUAUACCCCUUCUUCAGCAGAACAAACCAGAAGGUGUAGAAACAGAUUUUCUAAGUAUGGAAGCUCUCCUGAGGUGCUGCAUUAUUCGCUGCUGCCCCUGGGAUGGGACACAGAGCAAGGAGUGAAGAAGAGCUGCGAUGUGCCACUGCUUUUGUGAGGAGAGGGGCUUUCUGGCACGUCAUAUGGUGCCAAAAGACAUUUUACUCUUGGCAGCAAAAAUCCUUAUCCUUCUUGGUUUUUUUUUUUCCAGGACAGAUGCUAUUUCCUGUUAGAGAUGCUUUGUAUGCAAAUCAAGGUGGUGCAACAUGAAAAAAGUCCUGAAAGCAAUCACACCGAUAAACUCAGCCCACUGGGGAAUUCCUACUUAUCAUUUAUCUUUUGUUUUUUCAGUUCUGUACAAGAUACUUCUUUGCCUGUGCUUUCUUACAGUCUUUAAUGUUUGUCCUGCCAGACCUCUUGCUUAUGAACUACAGUGCUUGCAUUUUGCAGGGCUCCAUGCAUUUUGCAGGGCUGCACAAACAAAAGGCAGUAAGUGCUGGAAAUUGGGGUUAACAGUCCCUGUGUUUCAGCUUGAUCUUGCAUUGAUCUGUUGCUUUCUUAAAUUCAAGGCAGACAUGAGUCUCACACAACAGAUUGCCACAUGACUAUAGUGAUGAUCUACUGGAAAGGUGAUCCCAGAAACCUCAGGAAUGAAAAAAAAAAGAGAUAUAAAGCAAAAAGAAGACAGCAAAAAGUUUACCUAGUAACUUAAACAGGAGCAGUAUUUGACUUGAGGCACCUCAAGAGAUGGUAUGGGCAGCACUGCACUAAUGCAGUAACACGAGUUGAUCACCUCAUUGCUCCAGCAAAGCAAACUCACAUAGAAUCACAGACUGGUUUGGAUGGGAAGGGACUGUAAAAAUCAUCUAGUUGAACUCCUGUGCCGUGGGCGGGGAGACCUUCUAUCAGACCGGGUUGCUCAGGGACCCUUCCAACCUGGCCUUCAACACUUCCAGGGGUUGGGCAUCCACAACUUCCCUGGGCAUCUUGUGCCCUACAGGUGUCCCUAUAAGUGGAUGGGGCUGAUCAAAACCUGCAAAACCAGGCUGCCACCCUGCUGAUAUUACAACAGGCUGUGAGGGUGAAAAAAAGACUCAGAAACAGAAAAGGAUGUGUCAGAGAGCUGCAGAACGGCAUUGCCAAAGAACAUUCUUGUGCGUGUCCAGAGAUAGCCACUGCAGCCCAGGUCCUGUUGAAUCAUGCUGUGGUUGUUCUGGCCUUUGUGUGGGUGACAGUGAUAAUCAUUGUGUGUGGUGUUGGGUUUUUAUUAUUUCUUUUUUUUCCCCUUAAAUGUAAAAUUAACAGUCAAAUUAGCAUUGGUGAGGCAGCAAGCCUGGUGCAGCUUUUAUCUAUCCUGAACCUCAGAACAAAGGAGGGGAGGAAAAUGGCUUGGCCAGUUUGGCAGCCGUGCACAUAACGGUCCCAGAGUUCAAAGCAAAGGGCACAACAGUCAGAUACCCCAACCCUCCUGGGCUUUGGCUGAUAAGUCACAUUUCAAAGUAAAAGGCAAUCCUACAGGGGCUCUGCUGAGUGCCUAAAGCUCCAGUGCUGAGUCUUCUUUAAAAGGGGAUUUCAUAAGGAGUAAUAUGAACAGAAAUGGCUCUUUUGUGGUUUUGCACAUUCCAGGCAUGCCAGGACUGUUCCUGUCAAGGAUGGGCAAUCUCUGGGGUUUUAGGUUCUUUUUAUUUUUUUUCCCCAAAUAUUUGCCACAAACUAGCAGCUGAAAUGGUGAAAAAUAAAUAGGAGUUGCAAAAUCAUUACAGUAGCAGUAAUGGAAACUGUGAGGCUUAUACUUAAAUUGGCUGUGGGGUUUCACUCCAUCUUCUGCACUGUUGCACUGUGAGGGUUACUACUUUUACCUGCUAUGACCACUUCAGGGUGGAUGAUUUGAAAGCAGAGCUUUAACUGCUUGUUACCCAGGACCUCAAAAACCAGUGCUUUUGGCUUUUUCAGAAGCAAUUACCUUUUCAGUGUAAUUGCUAAUUCUUGCAAUGUCCGUGCAGUUAUGGGACCAUACAGCAUCUUUAUAUGAUGAUUUCUGCAGGUCUGUGUGUACAGAAAUGGGGCCCAACUGUUCCUGCUUCAGGUGCACUUUUGUUUCACAGAGGUUAUGCAGGCUUGGAUUGUACCCAUUAACACAGAAUUUUAAUUGAUGUAAGAGUUUCAGUGCACAAAGUUGUGGUGCCUGAAAUCUUAAAGGAGAUCACCUUUGCUCUGCCUUAGAACAGUCUGAAGUUUCAUGUGCAGUAAAACACUAGAUGGUUUGUGUAGACCUGCCCUUUAGAUGAGGGUCUAAUUCAUAAGCCUGCAUGUCCUGUUCUUCUCCACAUGGCUACUGCUCCUGUUGCCUUGACCUGUGUCUGGUGUAGUAGCAGGACCUCAUGGACAGCUGGGAAAGCCACAGCCCGAGAUGUUACUGCUGUCUCCUCAUGAAAUGUAUGGCUGUAUCAAUGUGCCAUUAAGUGUGUGCCUCAGCCCCCCUGAGACACCCUACACAAACACUCAGUACGUUUAUUAGCAGCACACUGACCACAGCCAGCUCAGCACCUUCAUGAGCUGGAGCUGCACCUUUACCUGCUGUCCAGGUGAGACUAAUCUUUCUAUGGGGGGAGUAGAAAAUGGAGCUAGGCUCAUCCCAGCAAAGUCUGAACUACAGGACCGUAGAUACCAUCCUGAGAAUUUGUUUUCAGCCCAAGUUUGACUGGGGCACAAAUGCAGAGGGAGAGUGAGAAAGCAUCUCUUUGAAAGUGGCAAUUAAAGAGACACUGUUGGAAUGAACUUUCUGGCAUGGUUUUAUUAAAUGUGAAUAUGGUUACUUAGUGGUGAACAGGAACUGGAGUGAAUUUAGGGGAUGGUUCCUGAAGCCCCCUCCCAUUCUCCAACACAGGCUGAUGUUACAGGGAAGUCUCAAGGCUGUUGCCUGGGCUGUUUUGAGUCUGUGGGUGGAGGAACUUAAUCACCAGGGUUGCCAUCAAAUGCUGCACUUACAAGAUACAAGGAAGAAAUGCUUGUGUUAAUUCUGUGCUCAACAUACAUAUUUUUCAUCUUAGACAAGUCUGGUCUUCCAGCCUUCUGGACUCCUGCCACUUUGGGUUUGAGAAAAAAAUUUUUUUUCUUUCUCCAUCAGUGCUACCAACCACAGAAUUUUGGAAACAAAAAGUCAGAAUGAGCUGUCUUUUUACUAGGCUGAUCUUUUCAGGAGUUGUUUUUGAAGUGGAUUUUGUUCUGUCCACUCAAGGUCUCUGCUGUGGAAAUAUUUAUUGCUGUGAAACUGUAGCAAGCUUUAUAAGUGGCAGGAAAAACUACUUUUGUAACCAAACAAGUGUGUUUUCCCUACAAGUCACACAGGUGUACAUUCCAAAUUUUUUUGUUUUGUUUUGUACUGUGUUAUCUGGAGUGGGAAAAUGAGUGGACCUUGCAUUUUAAUAUAGAUUCCCUCCAUUUAAUCACAGCAGAAGCGUACAUAGAGAUUCUUUGUUUUUUCUUCUUUUUCUGUGUAUUUACUUAGUGUUUUGUGCCUUGGAAUCUCUGUUUUCCUUCUUUUUGAUGGUUUAAGAGUUUUGAUAGAGACGGCAAAAGUGCUUAAAAGUAUUAAUGUCCCUGGGAAGUCUACAAAAGGUAUGCAGUGGUGAAGAGAUGCAGGCAACCUGUAGAAGAGCCAGAUUUUGACAGCAUGGGAAGUGGUUAGCGCCUCAUUGGACAUCCUCACAUCAAAGCUGGACAGUGGGCUCUUGAGAUACUCUGUUUGAACCACAAAUUGCUGGGCUUUGGGCAGAAAUCACUGUGUGAAAUUCUGUGGUCUUUAUUAGGCAGGCGGACAGACAAAAUAAUUUUGUUGGUUUCUCUUGGCUCUUAGAAUUUAUGAAUCACAUAGUCAGGGUGUUCUGGGGGGGGCUUGAGUUUCCAUGAAAAGUUUGCUGUGGCAGCAUGCAGACAACAAAACCCAUCUGUUCUCUUGUCCUUUCAUCAUGCUGUGUUGCUUUUGAAUUGUUCCAGAAGGAGGAUGAAAUUGGGCUUGUUAUUUAAAUUUCAGUAUGGGUGGCCAAAGCAACUCUACCUUGGUUAUUAUGGGCCUCCUGUGACCACAGGAAUGGAUGGUGCCUUAUGCCAGUCCUGAUUUAACAAACACCUGAGGACCGACUCAGCACUGCAGCAUAGCCCAUGGGAAUUGUGUGCCAUGGGAUCCUGCAGCAAGGCAGUGUCUGGGAAUAUAUCCUUGCAGUCUUUAGUAGUAAGGAUAUAAUCAGCCCUUGUAGGCUGGUAUCUGAUUAAAUAGCACAGUGUGCAAAGAAUUCAGGUUCUGUCUGGAGUUGCGUGAGCCCAUCUGGGGAGCAGUGUCAGGGAGAGAGUCCAUGGGAUCCUCGUGUGUGAUCACAUGAGAGUGAGCUCGUGAUGGAGCUGUGAGACAGAAAGGAACCCUGCAACUCUGGAGAGCAAGUAGGAGCAGGGAUAUGAUUCCUGACUUUGUCCUUUUAAAGGGUGACACACUGCCUGGUGUCUGUACUUGAAGAAGGGAGGGGUAGUGCCAAGAAGAAUUAAUGGAAAGCCACAGAUUACUUGGGCUUGCUUUGACUCCAGGCAUGAGGAGUGCAAUUUAGUUAAUUGGGAUGAAGGCUGGCAAGGGGGUGACUUGACUGCCACAUCUAGAGGAAAAAAGGUUUGAUCAGCAGGUUUGGGAUAAGGAGGAACCCUUAAAAUUUCUAUGUCCUUUUCCAGAUUUUAGAGGAAAUGUCUCUAGCAUCGCAAGUUUAGUUUAAAAUAUUGGGCUUAUUAUGUUGAGGUCUUGGGUGAAAGGGACUGAUACGCAGUGUAGUGAAGUCAGGAUGGAUUAUUUGGGUCUUUCUGCCUUUAUGCUCAGAGCUCUGGUACUCCCCAGCACCUUCCUCCCUCAGAGAAGGGAAGCACCUUCUUCUACCCCUCCCUGGGAUAGAGAGGUUUUGCCAUAACACUGGGCAUAGCGUAAACUGUCAGGACAAAAUGCUUUGGAGCCAUCUCAUCUCAAGACAGGUGUCUAAGAUAACUGGCUUUCCCUCUGGUAAUGGCUGUUGUCCUGCAGCAGCUUUGUGGAAGAACAGAAAUCUGGCUGAGAUGUGGACUCCUGUGCUUUGGAUAUCUGAAGCUGUGUGAGGUGAACACCCCUCUCACUGCCUGUGUGCAUGAUGAGGAGUUAGUGGAAUAAAGAACCCAACAAAGAACUGUCUGACACCACCUGAGAUGAAAAUAAUAUGGAAAAUUUAAUCAGCUCUCUGCAGCUGAGCAGUCCCUGGAGGUCCUGUACCAAAACUGACCCACUUGCUGAGCCCCAGCAGUGCAGCACUGGGCACUCCUCUGCCUGCCUAAGAAGAAGUAUGAAAAGAGACAAGUCCAGGGGACAGCAAUCAGUGGUAGAUGUUGCUGUGAAGAUGAUUCCCCUGCGCUCCUCAGACAAGCACCAAGCUUUCCCCUUCCUGUGUGUACCUGUCCUGCUGGCUGCAGCCCUUGCUGGACCCUGGAAGGAUGCAAGGCUCUGGCUCUUUGAAUGGCUGUCCAGAACAGUGAGGGAAAACUGCCUCCUCCCUGGACACAAAUCACAAUGAUUUGCUGGUGUUUUUUCUUGUGGUUUUUUUUUUUUUUUUUUUUUUUUUCUUUUGGCUGUCUGAAUAACUAAGUACAAACCUCUUUCACCUAUUUGACAUUAAUUCACUAAUGGAUGGCAGAAGGUUUCAUGUUUGGUUUUUAGCUGAAAAAGUGAUGAUGCAAUUAUAAACCUCACAUCCAUUAUGUAUCUUUGAACCAUGUGAAAAGUGUGAAUUUUUACAGAAAGUGUGAGAGUGGUGGGGGUUGUGGAAUAAACUUUUUUGCCUGAA
This is a long non-coding RNA of Haemorhous mexicanus (house finch), 8145 nucleotides long. RefSeq lists it as uncharacterized. The record is from RefSeq and is a predicted model, not a curated record. The transcript has 12 exons. NCBI's taxonomy places the organism in Eukaryota, Metazoa, Chordata, Aves, Passeriformes, Fringillidae.